Molecule: long non-coding RNA, 1432 nt
Filed under: Homo sapiens (human)
Lineage: Eukaryota; Metazoa; Chordata; Mammalia; Primates; Hominidae
Description: PREDICTED lncRNA (TCONS_00201662)
Source: RNAcentral
CUGGUCUUCAUCUUUCACCUACACUGGAUGCUUCCUGCCCUCGAACAUCAGACUCCAAGUUCUUCAACUUUUGGACUCUUGGAGUUACACCAGUAGUUUGCCAGGGGCUCUCGGGCCUUUGGCCAUAGACUGAAGGCUGCACAGUUGGCUUCCCUGCUCUUGAGGUUUGGGACUCGGACUGGCUUCCUUGCUCCUCAGUUUGUAGAUGGCCUAUCGUGGGACUUCACUUUGUGAUUGUAUCGUGGUCACCAGAUGGCUGUUGCCCUUCCAGGCUUCCAGCUCCUGUGUUCCAGACUGAAGAAGAGGAACAGAAAAAGGGUCAGACAUCUUUCUCCUAGUGCAGCUUUGUUUGAUUAGGAAGAGAGAAUUCCCCCUCACCGUCCCCCUUGAGAUUUCUGCCAGCAUCUCAUUGACCUGAACUGUGACACCUAGCUAUUUCUGUUUCACUCUCUAACAAAUGUAGAAAGUGUUAGUAAGGAAGACUGGAGUAGCAUACUUAGAAAUGGCAACAAGCAGUGCCUCCCACAGCUGCACAGUAUCCCAGUUUGUCAGAAUCUUCCAUGUACUCCUUCAGGUCUACUCUAUGCCCUUCUCACUCUGUUCUCUACUCCGGAGGCUGAUUUCCAGGGCUACAUUCCACAGGCCACCAGGCUUUCCCAGGCCAAGUUCUCUAGAAAUAGAUCCUGACGUGGGUAUUUGAGUACACAUGAUGUAUUGAGAGAGUGCUCCCAGGAGCAACCUUCAGGGGAGUGAGGGAGGCAGACAUGGAAUGAAAAGGAACUAUGGAAAAAUGUGGUUUCAGGUGAAAUCUAGCUUUGGCAUGAUCCCAUGGAAAGUUCUGUAGUGUAAAUUCUGAUGCAGAGUCUUUUCCAACGUGGGACAAGGAAACAGGGACUUUGCAGCACCUCUCCAGUCAGUUCUGGGCCAUUGGCCCCUAGAUGGGGAAAGAAUGUAUAAUUCCCAGGCACCUCCAGGUAAGGCGACCUCAGUCACCUAAGGGCAAGCCUUCUGAGAAGGAUGCAGGUGUAAGUCUAUAGCAGAAGCACCUGCAGCAACUGAGGAAUUAGCACACCAACCAUAUCAUUGAGAGGGAUCUCAGGGCUCUGGGUUGCAUAACAACAGCUUCUAUCUGUGCUUUCUGGCUUCCACUAACCUUGGCCAAUGGAGAGCUAGAACAGGCCAUGAAGGCAUUUCCCUUAACUCGCUCCCUGCUGGGUUUCUUCCCAAGGAUUCUUGGACAUGAGAGGAAAUGUCGUUUCAUGAAUGUUAAACUAAUUUGACUUAACUUAUAAAAGAUAUGAGGCAUAUCAGAAUACUUGAGCUAAAUAACAAAAGAUCAUCAAGUAAAGAGUAAAUCAUGGUCUUUCAUGGAAAAGAAAAUUUAUUAAGAAUUUGUUCUAUUCACAGUUAUUGAAUACAAAAAAACUCCAAG